This 715-nucleotide long non-coding RNA is filed under the name Canis lupus familiaris (dog). Its description in RNAcentral is "lncRNA (ENSCAFG00030023488.1)". Lineage: Eukaryota; Metazoa; Chordata; Mammalia; Carnivora; Canidae. The record is from RNAcentral.
CCCUCUUUUUAUUAUUCAUUCAUUCAUUCAUUCAUUCAUUCAUUCAUUCAUGUACAGGGAUGUCUCCAAAGAGUCCUCUCGUUGGAAUGAGGGCAAAGCGGCUCCCCGAGCGGGGCGAACCGGGUUGGAUUCUGGCUGGAGCGCGGAGGAUUCGGGGCGCCCGAGCUCGUGGGGUAACACCAUCCACAAACAGGAAAUCUCUUUCCUCUCUUCAUAACAUUCAACCUCUAAACUAGGUGAGUCAGUUACACUUUUUAACCUGUGCUGGGUCAAACCCUCCUGCUAGUUUGCCCCAUUCCUGCCUAUAGGAUGCCCUGAUUUCUCCCACCUGUAGUUCAAUAAUUGUAAAACUAGUCUCUCUUCGGAACAUUUCCCUUCCCAUACAGACUUCAUAUUCCUUUUCCAUAAUCAAAUACAUAUGGAAUUCCUGGCAGUGCCAGACAUGGUGCUAGGAUCUCUCUUCAGCAAACCUAUCUGGUAAUGUCUCCACUUUUCCCAAGUGAUAAACUUCCGCUGCAUUCUCAGAGGCCUUGGGAUGAAUGUCUGACUCGAGUUCUCAGUGUGGUAUAUAUAGUCUUUCAGACUAAGCUUCGACUUUUUCUUUUCUUCAUUCUCUCUCUCUUUUUUUUGAAGGUAUUUUAUUUAUUUAUUUGAGAGAGAGAGAGAGAGAGAGAGAUCACAAGCAAGGAGGAAGGGCAGAGGGAGGAGCAGACUC